RNAcentral lists this ribosomal RNA (305 nucleotides) under uncultured bacterium. RNAcentral's name for it is "bacterial SSU rRNA". It matches the Rfam family "Bacterial small subunit ribosomal RNA", at positions 333 to 635 of the family's 1533-position model. The record is from RNAcentral.
AUGCUCCUACGGGGGGCAGCAGUGAGGAAUAUUGGUCAAUGGGCGGAAGCCUGAACCAGCCAAGUCGCGUGAGGGAAUAAGGCCCUACGGGCCGUAAACCUCUUUUGCCGGGGAGCAAGGGCCGGGACGAGUCCCGGUCCGGAGAGUACCCGGAGAAAAAGCAUCGGCUAACUCCGUGCCAGCAGCCGCGGUAAUACGGAGGAUGCGAGCGUUAUCCGGACUUAUUGGGUUUAAAGGGUGCGUAGGCGGGCUUUUAAGUCAGCGGUAAAAAUUCGGGGCUCAACCCCGUCCGGCCGUUGAAACUG